AGAGUUUGAUCAUGGCUCAGAUUGAACGCUGGCGGCAGGCCUAACACAUGCAAGUCGAACGGUAACAGGAAGAAGCUUGCUUCUUUGCUGACGAGUGGCGGACGGGUGAGUAAUGUCUGGGAAACUGCCUGAUGGAGGGGGAUAACUACUGGAAACGGUAGCUAAUACCGCAUAACGUCGCAAGACCAAAGAGGGGGACCUUCGGGCCUCUUGCCAUCGGAUGUGCCCAGAUGGGAUUAGCUAGUAGGUGGGGUAACGGCUCACCUAGGCGACGAUCCCUAGCUGGUCUGAGAGGAUGACCAGCCACACUGGAACUGAGACACGGUCCAGACUCCUACGGGAGGCAGCAGUGGGGAAUAUUGCACAAUGGGCGCAAGCCUGAUGCAGCCAUGCCGCGUGUAUGAAGAAGGCCUUCGGGUUGUAAAGUACUUUCAGCGGGGAGGAAGGGAGUAAAGUUAAUACCUUUGCUCAUUGACGUUACCCGCAGAAGAAGCACCGGCUAACUCCGUGCCAGCAGCCGCGGUAAUACGGAGGGUGCAGGCGUUAAUCGGAAUUACUGGGCGUAAAGCGCACGCAGGCGGUUUGUUAAGUCAGAUGUGAAAUCCCCGGGCUCAACCUGGGAACUGCAUCUGAUACUGGCAAGCUUGAGUCUCGUAGAGGGGGGUAGAAUUCCAGGUGUAGCGGUGAAAUGCGUAGAGAUCUGGAGGAAUACCGGUGGCGAAGGCGGCCCCCUGGACGAAGACUGACGCUCAGGUGCGAAAGCGUGGGGAGCAAACAGGAUUAGAUACUCUGGUAGUCCACGCCGUAAACGAUGUCGACUUGGAGGUUGUGCCCUUGAGGCGUGGCUUCCGGAGCUAACGCGUUAAGUCGACCGCCUGGGGAGUACGGCCGCAAGGUUAAAACUCAAAUGAAUUGACGGGGGCCCGCACAAGCGGUGGAGCAUGUGGUUUAAUUCGAUGCAACGCGAAGAACCUUACCUGGUCUUGACAUCCACAGAACUUUCCAGAGAUGGAUUGGUGCCUUCGGGAACUGUGAGACAGGUGCUGCAUGGCUGUCGUCAGCUCGUGUUGUGAAAUGUUGGGUUAAGUCCCGCAACGAGCGCAACCCUUAUCUUUUGUUGCCAGCGGUCCGGCCGGGAACUCAAAGGAGACUGCCAGUGAUAAACUGGAGGAAGGUGGGGAUGACGUCAAGUCAUCAUGGCCCUUACGACCAGGGCUACACACGUGCUACAAUGGCGCAUACAAAGAGAAGCGACCUCGCGAGAGCAAGCGGACCUCAUAAAGUGCGUCGUAGUCCGGAUUGGAGUCUGCAACUCGACUCCAUGAAGUCGGAAUCGCUAGUAAUCGUGGAUCAGAAUGCCACGGUGAAUACGUUCCCGGGCCUUGUACACACCGCCCGUCACACCAUGGGAGUGGGUUGCAAAAGAAGUAGGUAGCUUAACCUUCGGGAGGGCGCUUACCACUUUGUGAUUCAUGACUGGGGUGAAGUCGGAACAAGGUAACCGUAGGGGAACCUGCGGUUG
Molecule: ribosomal RNA, 1522 nt
Filed under: metagenome
Description: bacterial SSU rRNA
Rfam family: Bacterial small subunit ribosomal RNA
Source: RNAcentral